UACGUAGGGUGCAAGCGUUGUCCGGAAUCAUUGGGCGUAAAGCGCGCGUAGGCGGCCCGAUAAGUCCGCUGUAAAAGUCAACGGCUCAACUGUUGAAAGCCGGUGGAUACUGUCGGGCUAGAGUACGGAAGAGGCAAGUGGAAUUCCUGGUGUAGCGGUGGAAUGCGCAGAUAUCAGGAAGAACACCCGUGGCGAAGGCGGCUCUCUGGGACGGUACUGACGCUGAGACGCGAAAGCGUGGGGAGCGAACAGG
RNAcentral lists this ribosomal RNA (253 nucleotides) under uncultured bacterium. RNAcentral describes it as "partial 16S ribosomal RNA". It matches the Rfam family "Bacterial small subunit ribosomal RNA", at positions 524 to 776 of the family's 1533-position model. The record is from RNAcentral.